AGAUUAAGUUAUUAAGGGCGCACGGUGGAUGCCUUGGCACUAGAAGCCGAUGAAGGACGUUACUAACGACGAUAUGCUUUGGGGAGCUGUAAGUAAGCUUUGAUCCAGAGAUUUCCGAAUGGGGAAACCCAGCAUGAGUUAUGUCAUGUUAUCGAUAUGUGAAUACAUAGCAUAUCAGAAGGCACACCCGGAGAACUGAAACAUCUUAGUACCCGGAGGAAGAGAAAGAAAAUUCGAUUCCCUUAGUAGCGGCGAGCGAAACGGGAAGAGCCCAAACCAACAAGCUUGCUUGUUGGGGUUGUAGGACACUCUGUACGGAGUUACAAAGGACGACAUUAGACGAAUCAUCUGGAAAGAUGAAUCAAAGAAGGUAAUAAUCCUGUAGUCGAAAAUGUUGUCUCUCUUGAGUGGAUCCUGAGUACGACGGAGCACGUGAAAUUCCGUCGGAAUCUGGGAGGACCAUCUCCUAAGGCUAAAUACUCUCUAGUGA
Molecule: ribosomal RNA, 490 nt
Filed under: Staphylococcus aureus
Lineage: Bacteria; Bacillati; Bacillota; Bacilli; Caryophanales; Staphylococcaceae
Description: partial 23S ribosomal RNA
Rfam family: Bacterial large subunit ribosomal RNA
Source: RNAcentral